RNAcentral lists this ribosomal RNA (374 nucleotides) under uncultured organism. RNAcentral's name for it is "partial 16S ribosomal RNA". It matches the Rfam family "Bacterial small subunit ribosomal RNA", at positions 527 to 896 of the family's 1533-position model. The record is from RNAcentral.
GUAGGAGGCAAGCGUUGUCCGGAAUUAUUGGGCGUAAAGCGCGCGCAGGCGGGUCCUUUAAGUCUGAUGUGAAAGCCCACGGGCUCAACCGUGGAGGGUCAUUGGAAACUGGGGGACUUGAGUACAGAAGAGGAAAGCGGAAUUCCAAGUGUAGCGGUGAAAUGCGUAGAGAUUUGGAGGAACACCAGUGGCGAAGGCGGCUUUCUGGUCUGUAACUGACGCUGAGGCGCGAAAGCGUGGGGAGCAAACAGGAUUAGAUACCCUGGUAGUCCACGCCGUAAACGAUGAGUGCUAAGUGUUAGGGGGUUUCCGCCCCUUAGUGCUGCAGCUAACGCAUUAAGCACUCCGCCUGGGGAGUACGGCCGCAAAGGCUG